This 483-nucleotide ribosomal RNA is filed under the name Cirrhitichthys oxycephalus (coral hawkfish). RNAcentral describes it as "partial small subunit ribosomal RNA". It matches the Rfam family "Bacterial small subunit ribosomal RNA", at positions 788 to 1491 of the family's 1533-position model. The record is from RNAcentral. Lineage: Eukaryota; Metazoa; Chordata; Actinopteri; Centrarchiformes; Cirrhitidae.
CACUAUGCUUUACCAUAAACAUUGAUAGCCUCCCCCACACUUCCUAUCCGCCCGGGUACUACAAGCACCAGCUUCAAACCCAAAGGACUUGGCGGUGCUUUAGAUCCCCCUAGAGGAGCCUGUUCUAGAACCGAUAAUCCCCGUUAAACCUCACCUUUCCUUGUCACCCCCCGCCUAUAUAUCUCCGUCGCCAGCUUACCCUGUGAAGGCCUCAUAGUAAGUUUAACCGGUGAGUACCACCCCUAACGUCAGGUCGAGAUGUAGCGCAUGGGAAGGGAAGAAAUGGGCUACAUUCCCUAAACAUAGAGAAUACGAAUGAUAAGUUGAAAUGCCUAUCUGAAGGAGGAUUUAGUAGUAAGUAGAAAAUAGAGCGUUCUGCUGAAACCGGCCCUGAAGCGCGCACACACCGCCCGUCACUCUCCCCGAGCUAACCUGUCAACGUAAUUAAAACACUAACACUGCACGAGGGGAGGCAAGUCGUAA